CGGGACGGGUGAGUAAUGUCCGGGAAACGUGCCUGAUGGAGGGGGAUAACUGCUGGAAACGGUAGCUAAUACCGCAUAACGUCGCAAGACCAAAGAGGGGGACCUUCGGGCCUCUUGCCAUCGGAUGUGCCCAGAUGGGAUUAGCUAGUAGGUGGGGUAACGGCUCACCUAGGCGACGAUCCCUAGCUGGUCUGAGAGGAUGGCCAGCCACACUGGAACUGAGACACGGUCCAG
This 234-nucleotide ribosomal RNA is filed under the name uncultured bacterium. RNAcentral describes it as "partial 16S ribosomal RNA". It matches the Rfam family "Bacterial small subunit ribosomal RNA", at positions 100 to 334 of the family's 1533-position model. The record is from RNAcentral.